This 253-nucleotide ribosomal RNA is filed under the name uncultured bacterium. RNAcentral's name for it is "partial 16S ribosomal RNA". It matches the Rfam family "Bacterial small subunit ribosomal RNA", at positions 524 to 776 of the family's 1533-position model. The record is from RNAcentral.
UACGUAGGGUGCGAGCGUUAAUCGGAAUUACUUGGCGUAAAGUGUGCGCAGGCGGCCGCGCAAGUCGAGUGUGAAAGCCCCGGGCUUAACUUGGGAAUUGCGCCCGAAACUACGUGGCUAGAGUGUGGCAGAGGGAGGUGGAAUUCCACGUGUAGCGGUGAAAUGCGUAGAGAUGUGGAGGAACACCGAUGGCGAAGGCAGCCUCCUGGGCCAACACUGACGCUCAUGCACGAAAGCGUGGGGAGCAAACAGG